RNAcentral lists this small RNA (172 nucleotides) under Mycolicibacterium senegalense. RNAcentral describes it as "ykoK". It matches the Rfam family "M-box riboswitch aptamer (ykoK leader)". Rfam says of the family: M-box riboswitch, also know as ykoK leader is described as a metaloregulatory RNA that sense divalent metals and function as a genetic control element of genes related to divalent metal transport in bacteria. It was first reported upstream of the B.subtilis ykoK gene and genes with related functions in other bacteria. RNAcentral also lists the same sequence under 1 other name. Lineage: Bacteria; Bacillati; Actinomycetota; Actinomycetes; Mycobacteriales; Mycobacteriaceae. The record is from RNAcentral.
AUCGCGCUUCGUUAGGUGAGGCUCCUACACGAACACAGGCCACUGAUCCGACGACGUCGAGAGACGCCCAGGGUUAGGACAGGUCUUCCCGGCCUAAGGGAUGACCCGAAGUGGCUUCCCGCCCUGGUGGGACACGUCGUGUAGUGCCAAAGCUCUGGUGAGGAAGUGCCCG